GACACACGCCCAGCAGACCCCUUCUUUGAACGUGUGUGUGUGUGCGCGUGUGUGUUUUGAUCACCAUGACCGGCUCCAAGGCGCUCUGUCGGGCGUGCCUCACGGCUUACUCGGCCCUCAUGGUGAUUCUCACUGUAGUCUACCUGUGGUCUAAAUGGGGGGUGCACCGCAGCUUCGUCGAGGUGCUAGAGGAGACGAAGAGGCACAGCGACAGCAGUGCUGACGUCAACGGCGUCGCCCUCGCCGAGUCGGGCGGGGCCGAGUACGUACUUGUCGCGCUUUUCCACGUUGCGCACCUCAUUUGCCUUACGCUGUUUCUGUUCGGCUACAAGUCCGGCGUGAAAAUGGCGCUCGGCUGCGCGUUGCUUCUGGCGAGCGCCGUCAUGUACAUACUCGUCUACGGGUGUGUGACUCUACAAGGACGGCUGGAGCAGCAGCGCUCCUUCGCCUCCCCAAAGGCCGCUGCAGCGCACCCGCGCAAGCAGAAGGAGUCCCAAGCGUAUCAGGUGGAGGUGAGCUACACCCAUGACGCCAUCGCUGUCGCUGGUGCAGCAGCGUCCCCACGUAACGGGGGGCGGCGUGAGCUGAGUUGUGCUGCUGCCGAGAAGGUCAGUGGCGAGCCAGGCACUUGCGGCAUUGCCUCGGCGCAUGCUGAUGAGCCUCUCUCGUAUGUAGAACUCGGGUGGAUAUUACUGGAGGCCUUGGUUGACGUGCUGGCCAUCAUCGCCGUCGGCCCUGAGAGUCCCACAGGCGACGACGGCGUCCGUCUCCACCCCGACGGCACGCCCAUCUCCUCCGAGGCGCCGUUCACCGGGGUGCGUCGACUCAGCCUAUUGAUGUUGAACUUCGUUGGGUUUGCUUUGUCAAUGUGGGGUGUCAUGCUAUUCGAUGUCAGCCCUACCUCGGCACCGGCGCCGGCGCUGUCAACGCCAGCCGCCGCCAGUGGUAGUGUUAGGGGCCGUUGUGGCCGUAGCAACGGUGCUCAGGCCGCCAGACAAAGGGCGAGCGCUUCGGCAACCUUGGCAAACCCGGCAGCAGGCGCGGGGCAACCGUCUGCAGCUCCUGUAGAGGCGAAGAAGUAUCAGUAGGAACGUCGUCUUCUUUUCGGUGUCACCGUGUUCCUCCUGUCGCUGCCGCCAUUCCUGUUGCUGCGGGCAGAUGGGCGUGUCUGCGCCGGGUUGUGGACUUGAUUACUGCAUGCUGUACGCAAUGUACCCGUAUAUAUAUAUAUAGAGAGCACGUGCAAGAUGUACGUUAGCGCACAUUGUAUGAAGGUGUGGGUAGGUAUGAAUGCCGCAUCCUCACUCGAGUCGCCGCGACGCGCCUUGCCGCCGUGCGUGUAACUGAAUAUCGGCACCGAAG
RNAcentral lists this unclassified non-coding RNA (1362 nucleotides) under Leishmania donovani. RNAcentral's name for it is "gene:LdHU3.25.1200(CDS-product:hypothetical_prote in_conserved)". The record is from RNAcentral. Lineage: Eukaryota; Euglenozoa; Kinetoplastea; Trypanosomatida; Trypanosomatidae.